RNAcentral lists this transfer RNA (64 nucleotides) under Amynthas sp. 2 JS-2012. RNAcentral describes it as "tRNA-Gly". Lineage: Eukaryota; Metazoa; Annelida; Clitellata; Crassiclitellata; Megascolecidae. The record is from RNAcentral.
GUGUUUUUAGUAUAUGGAGUACACUUACCUUCCAAGUAAGAAGAUUAACUAAUUAAAAAACAUA